Long non-coding RNA from Erigeron canadensis, 712 nucleotides. RefSeq lists it as uncharacterized. The transcript is spliced from 3 exons. NCBI's taxonomy places the organism in Eukaryota, Viridiplantae, Streptophyta, Magnoliopsida, Asterales, Asteraceae. The record is from RefSeq and is a predicted model, not a curated record.
UUCCUUUCAAAUCAUACUUCAUUACAAUUCAAUUCUAUAAUCAUUCAACAAUAACAAUAAUCUUCCAUCAUUCUUCUAAAUUCUAAGAUUGAAAUUGAGAGUGUGUGGUGGUGGUGUGUGGAUCGAUUUCAAGAGGGAAAAAGGGGAAGAAUAGAAUGAUUUUGAUUCUCUUCAAGUGUGUUAAUUUUAAUUAAUAAAAUCCUUCCAAGAUAAUAAUAAUAAUCACUUCAAUUAGUUAACUAGUGAAUUGGAGAAAUGGGGUGUGGGUGUGUGUGUGUGUCGAACCACACCAAGAAGGAAAAGAGGAAGGAGCUUGAUUCUAGUUGUUUGGUUUCUUUGUAGUAGAUUUCUUCUUUAAGGUUGAAAGCUUUGCACUUGUUGUAGCAUUCUUGAUUGUUGUUAGUCGCGGAGGAGGUAGUUCCGAAAGAAGGAACUAGGUUGGUUUGAUUUGGAGGAUUAGAGCUUGAAGUUGUUUGUAGAUACUUGGAAGGUAAUUUGGCUAUUCUUGGAUGAAUGGCAUGUUUUUGGUAGAAACCUAGUUGUCCCUCUCUACUUUGGCUCAUGGUACAAAUUUGGUUGUUUAUGGUCAUGUUUUGGUACAUUUGUUUAUGGAUAUGCUUGGUCAAUUGCUUUUCAAAUUCUGGUCGUUGUUGGAUUAGUUGUAUUGUGGUAUGUUUUAACAAGUUUGUAAAUGUGUUUGUGAUUAGUUUUA